RNAcentral lists this ribosomal RNA (438 nucleotides) under Rothia dentocariosa. RNAcentral's name for it is "bacterial SSU rRNA". It matches the Rfam family "Bacterial small subunit ribosomal RNA", at positions 28 to 474 of the family's 1533-position model. Lineage: Bacteria; Bacillati; Actinomycetota; Actinomycetes; Micrococcales; Micrococcaceae. The record is from RNAcentral.
GACGAACGCUGGCGGCGUGCUUAACACAUGCAAGUCGAACGAUGAAGCCUAGCUUGCUAGGUGGAUUAGUGGCGAACGGGUGAGUAAUACGUGAGUGACCUACCUUUGACUCUGGGAUAAGCCUGGGAAACUGGGUCUAAUACCGGAUACGACCAAUCUCCGCAUGGGGUGUUGGUGGAAAGCGUUAUGGAGUGGUUUUAGAUGGGCUCACGGCCUAUCAGCUUGUUGGUGAGGUAAUGGCUUACCAAGGCGACGACGGGUAGCCGGCCUGAGAGGGUGACCGGCCACACUGGGACUGAGACACGGCCCAGACUCCUACGGGAGGCAGCAGUGGGGAAUAUUGCACAAUGGGCGCAAGCCUGAUGCAGCGACGCCGCGUGAGGGAUGACGGCCUUCGGGUUGUAAACCUCUGUUAGCAUCGAAGAAGCGAAAGUGACG